This 253-nucleotide ribosomal RNA is filed under the name uncultured bacterium. RNAcentral's name for it is "partial 16S ribosomal RNA". It matches the Rfam family "Bacterial small subunit ribosomal RNA", at positions 524 to 776 of the family's 1533-position model. The record is from RNAcentral.
UACGUAGGGGGCAAGCGUUGUCCGGAUUUAUUGGGCGUAAAGCGCGUGUAGGCGGUUUGGUAGGUCCGUUGUGAAAACUCGAGGCUCAACCUCGAGACGCCGAUGGAAACCAUCUGACUAGAGUCCGGAAGAGGAGAGUGGAAUUCCUGGUGUAGCGGUGAAAUGCGCAGAUAUCAGGAAGAACACCCGUGGCUAAGGCGGCUCUCUAGUACGUGACUGACGCUGAGACGCGAAAGCGUGGGGAGCGAACAGG